Molecule: non-coding RNA, 22 nt
Filed under: Arabidopsis thaliana (thale cress)
Lineage: Eukaryota; Viridiplantae; Streptophyta; Magnoliopsida; Brassicales; Brassicaceae
Source: RNAcentral
GAUCCUUUAAGCCCUACUGGUC